UACGAAGGGGGCGAGCGUUGUUCGGAUUUACUGGGCGUAAAGGGCGCGUAGGCGGCAGAGCAAGUCGAGUGUGAAAGCCCCGGGCUCAACCUGGGAAUGGCGCUCGAGACUGUUGUGCUUGAGUUCGGGAGAGGAGCGUGGAAUUCCCAGUGUAGAGGUGAAAUUCGUAGAUAUUGGGAAGAACACCGGUGGCGAAGGCGGCGCUCUGGACCGAUACUGACGCUGAGGCGCGAAAGCGUGGGGAGCAAACAGG
This 253-nucleotide ribosomal RNA is filed under the name uncultured bacterium. RNAcentral describes it as "partial 16S ribosomal RNA". It matches the Rfam family "Bacterial small subunit ribosomal RNA", at positions 524 to 776 of the family's 1533-position model. The record is from RNAcentral.